Molecule: ribosomal RNA, 468 nt
Filed under: uncultured bacterium
Lineage: Bacteria
Description: partial 16S ribosomal RNA
Rfam family: Bacterial small subunit ribosomal RNA
Source: RNAcentral
GACGAACGCUGGCGGCGUGCUUAACACAUGCAAGUCGAACGGAAAGGCCCUGCUUUUGUGGGGUGCUCGAGUGGCGGACGGGUGAGUAACACGUGAGUAACCUGCCCUUGACUUUGGGAUAACUUCAGGAAACUGGGGCUAAUACCGGAUAGGAGCUCCUGCUGCAUGGUGGGGGUUGGAAAGUUUCGGCGGUUGGGGAUGGACUCGCGGCUUAUCAGCUUGUUGGUGGGGUAGUGGCUUACCAAGGCUUUGACGGGUAGCCGGCCUGAGAGGGUGACCGGCCACAUUGGGACUGAGAUACGGACCAGACUCCUACGGGAGGCAGCAGUGGGGAAUAUUGCACAAUGGGCGGAAGCCUGAUGCAGCAACGCCGCGUGCGGGAUGACGGCCUUCGGGUUGUAAACCGCUUUCGCCUGUGACGAAGCGUGAGUGACGGUAAUGGGUAAAGAAGCACCGGCUAACUACGUG